GGAGAAGUACCCAAGUGGCUCAAGGGGACCCUCUGCUAAGGGGUUAGACUGCGUAAGUGGUGCGAGGGUUCGAAUCCCUCCUUCUCCGCCA
Molecule: transfer RNA, 91 nt
Filed under: Paenibacillus curdlanolyticus
Lineage: Bacteria; Bacillati; Bacillota; Bacilli; Caryophanales; Paenibacillaceae
Also listed under: 35 other names
Description: tRNA-Ser
Rfam family: tRNA
About the family: Transfer RNA (tRNA) molecules are approximately 80 nucleotides in length. Their secondary structure includes four short double-helical elements and three loops (D, anti-codon, and T loops).
Source: RNAcentral